Molecule: ribosomal RNA, 1327 nt
Filed under: Bacillus tequilensis
Lineage: Bacteria; Bacillati; Bacillota; Bacilli; Caryophanales; Bacillaceae
Description: bacterial SSU rRNA
Rfam family: Bacterial small subunit ribosomal RNA
Source: RNAcentral
AGGCGAUGGGGGUCUAUAAUGCAGUCGAGCGGACAGAUGGGAGCUUGCUCCCUGAUGUUAGCGGCGGACGGGUGAGUAACACGUGGGUAACCUGCCUGUAAGACUGGGAUAACUCCGGGAAACCGGGGCUAAUACCGGAUGGUUGUUUGAACCGCAUGGUUCAAACAUAAAAGGUGGCUUCGGCUACCACUUACAGAUGGACCCGCGGCGCAUUAGCUAGUUGGUGAGGUAAUGGCUCACCAAGGCAACGAUGCGUAGCCGACCUGAGAGGGUGAUCGGCCACACUGGGACUGAGACACGGCCCAGACUCCUACGGGAGGCAGCAGUAGGGAAUCUUCCGCAAUGGACGAAAGUCUGACGGAGCAACGCCGCGUGAGUGAUGAAGGUUUUCGGAUCGUAAAGCUCUGUUGUUAGGGAAGAACAAGUACCGUUCGAAUAGGGCGGUACCUUGACGGUACCUAACCAGAAAGCCACGGCUAACUACGUGCCAGCAGCCGCGGUAAUACGUAGGUGGCAAGCGUUGUCCGGAAUUAUUGGGCGUAAAGGGCUCGCAGGCGGUUUCUUAAGUCUGAUGUGAAAGCCCCCGGCUCAACCGGGGAGGGUCAUUGGAAACUGGGGAACUUGAGUGCAGAAGAGGAGAGUGGAAUUCCACGUGUAGCGGUGAAAUGCGUAGAGAUGUGGAGGAACACCAGUGGCGAAGGCGACUCUCUGGUCUGUAACUGACGCUGAGGAGCGAAAGCGUGGGGAGCGAACAGGAUUAGAUACCCUGGUAGUCCACGCCGUAAACGAUGAGUGCUAAGUGUUAGGGGGUUUCCGCCCCUUAGUGCUGCAGCUAACGCAUUAAGCACUCCGCCUGGGGAGUACGGUCGCAAGACUGAAACUCAAAGGAAUUGACGGGGGCCCGCACAAGCGGUGGAGCAUGGUGAUUUAAUUCGAAGCAACGCGAAGAAUCUUACCAGGUCUGACAUCCUCUGACAAUCCUAGAGAUAGGACGUUCCCUUCGGGGCAGAGUGACAGUUGGUGCAUGUUGUCGUCAGCUCGUGUCGUGAGAAUGUUGGAUUAAGUCCGCACGAGCGCAUCCCUGAUCUAGUUGCAGCAUCAGUGGCACUCUAAGGUGACUGCGGUGACAACGGAGGAAGGUGGGGAUGACGUCAUCAUCUGCCUUAUGACUGCUACACUGCUAAUGACGAAAUAGGCAGCAAACCGCGCAGGUAAACCGCGAGGUUAAGCCAAUCCCACAAAUCUGUUCUCAGUUCGGAUCGCAGUCUGCAACUCGACUGCGUGAAGCUGGAAUCGCUAGUAAUCGCGGAUCAGCAUGCCGCGGUGA